GAUCCUGGCUCAGGAUAAACGCUGGCGGCGUGCCUAACACAUGCAAGUCGAACGAUCCGCAAGGGAGAGUGGCGGAAGGGUGAGUAACACGUGGGAAUCUACCUCCUCGCAGGGAACAACCUCUCGAAAGAGAGGCUAAUACCCAAAAGGGUCAGAAAUGAUCAGAGUCGAAAGGCGUGAGGAGAGGAGCCCGCGGCCCAUCAGCUAGUUGGUGAGGUAAUGGCUUACCAAGGCUACGACGGGUAGGGGAUCUGAGAGGAUGUCCCCCACACUGGAACUGAAACACGGUCCAGACGCCUACGGGUGGCAGCAGUGAGGAAUAUUGGACAAUGGGCGAAAGCCCGAUCCAGCAACGCCGCGUGGAGGAUGAAGGCCUUCGGGUCGUAAACUUCUUUAGAGGGAGACGAGAAAGGACGGUAUCCCUAGAAUAAGCGACGGCAAACUACGUG
This 449-nucleotide ribosomal RNA is filed under the name uncultured bacterium. RNAcentral's name for it is "bacterial SSU rRNA". It matches the Rfam family "Bacterial small subunit ribosomal RNA", at positions 15 to 507 of the family's 1533-position model. The record is from RNAcentral.